RNAcentral lists this ribosomal RNA (253 nucleotides) under uncultured bacterium. RNAcentral describes it as "partial 16S ribosomal RNA". It matches the Rfam family "Bacterial small subunit ribosomal RNA", at positions 524 to 776 of the family's 1533-position model. The record is from RNAcentral.
GACGAACCGAGCGACCGUUGUUCGGAAUCACUGGGCUUAAAGGGCGCGUAGGCGGGUGCUCAAGUCCGUGGUGAAAUCCUCCGGCUCAACCGGAGAACUGCCAUGGAUACUGGGUGUCUCGAGGGUGAUAGGGGUAUGCGGAACUAUCGGUGGAGCGGUGAAAUGCGUUGAUAUCGAUAGGAACUCCGGUGGCGAAGGCGGCAUACUGGAUCACAUCUGACGCUGAGGCGCGAAAGCCAGGGGAGCAAACGGG